This 247-nucleotide ribosomal RNA is filed under the name uncultured bacterium. RNAcentral describes it as "partial 16S ribosomal RNA". It matches the Rfam family "Bacterial small subunit ribosomal RNA", at positions 523 to 769 of the family's 1533-position model. The record is from RNAcentral.
AUACGGAGGGUGCAAGCGUUAAUCGGAAUUACUGGGCGUAAAGCGCACGUAGGCGGCCCUGCAAGUCAGACGUGAAAGCCCACGGCUCAACCGUGGAAUUGCGUUUGAAACUACAAGGCUUGAGUCCGAGAGAGGGUGGCGGAAUUCCGGGUGUAGGAGUGAAAUCCGUAGAUAUCCGGAGGAACACCAGUGGCGAAGGCGGCCACCUGGAUCGGUACUGACGCUGAGGUGCGAAAGCGUGGGGAGC